AUUGAACGCUGGCGGCAGGCCUAACACAUGCAAGUCGAGCGGAUGAAGGGAGCUUGCUCCUGGAUUCAGCGGCGGACGGGUGAGUAAUGCCUAGGAAUCUGCCUGGUAGUGGGGGAUAACGUCCGGAAACGGGCGCUAAUACCGCAUACGUCCUGAGGGAGAAAGUGGGGGAUCUUCGGACCUCACGCUAUCAGAUGAGCCUAGGUCGGAUUAGCUAGUUGGUGGGGUAAAGGCCUACCAAGGCGACGAUCCGUAACUGGUCUGAGAGGAUGAUCAGUCACACUGGAACUGAGACACGGUCCAGAGUCCUACGGGAGGCAGCAGUGGGGAAUAUUGGACAAUGGGGGAAAGCAUGAUCCAGCCAUGCCGCGUGUGUGAAGAAGGUCUUCGGAUUGUAAAGCACUUUAAGUUGGGAGGAAGGGCAGUAAGUUAAUACCUUGCUGUUUUGACGUUACCAACAGAAUAAGCACCGGCUAACUUCGUG
Molecule: ribosomal RNA, 484 nt
Filed under: uncultured bacterium
Lineage: Bacteria
Description: partial 16S ribosomal RNA
Rfam family: Bacterial small subunit ribosomal RNA
Source: RNAcentral